This 419-nucleotide ribosomal RNA is filed under the name bacterium. RNAcentral's name for it is "partial 16S ribosomal RNA". It matches the Rfam family "Bacterial small subunit ribosomal RNA", at positions 355 to 776 of the family's 1533-position model. The record is from RNAcentral.
UGGGGGAUAUUGCACAAUGGGCGAAAGCCUGAUGCAGCGACGCCGCGUGGGGGAUGAAGGCCUUCGGGUUGUAAACCUCUUUUGCUCUGAACAAGGCAUGCUAAUGGGUGUGUUGAGUGUAGGGGUUGAUUAGCGCCGGCUAACUACGUGCCAGCAGCCGCGGUAAUACGUAGGGCGCGAGCGUUGUCCGGAAUUAUUGGGCGUAAAGGGCUUGUAGGUGGCUGGUUGCGUCUGUCGUGAAAGCUCAUGGCUUAACUGUGGGUUUGCGGUGGGUACGGGCUGGCUUGAGUUCAGUAGGGGAGGCUGGAAUUCCUGGUGUAGCGGUGGAAUGCGCAGAUAUCAGGAGGAAUACCGGUGGCGAAGGCGGGUCUCUGGGCUGUUACUGACACUGAGGAGCGAAAGCAUGGGGAGCGAACAGG